Molecule: ribosomal RNA, 255 nt
Filed under: uncultured bacterium
Lineage: Bacteria
Description: partial 16S ribosomal RNA
Rfam family: Bacterial small subunit ribosomal RNA
Source: RNAcentral
UACAGAGGUCUCAAGCGUUGUUCGGAUUCAUUGGGCGUAAAGGGUGCGUAGGUGGCGCCGUAAGUCGGGUGUGAAAUUUCGGAGCUUAACUCCGAAACUGCAUUCGAUACUGCGGUGCUUGAGGACUGGAGAGGAGACUGGAAUUCAUGGUGUAGCAGUGAAAUGCGUAGAGAUCAUGAGGAAGACCAGUAGGCGAAGGCGGGUCUCUGGACAGUUCCUGACACUGAGGCACGAAGGCCAGGGGAGCAAAACGGG